CCUGCCUUUAGAAGGUGGCACGUCCGAAACCUAGGGACAGGAAGAUGGCUGUGUCUCAGGAUUUACUGGAACCCAGGGACUUAGAAGCCACCAAGAAUCUCUCUUCCUCCUUUCUGCUCAUCAUGCAACACUCUUCUCUGCUCAGCAAGCCACAGUAUCAGCAUCCACAUUGUAGGAACGAUGGCCACCCAGCAUCAGUGAUUCACAUCUAACAGCUGCCGCACCAGGGCUGGGUCAUAGAAAACAUUGUUGCCCAUGGAAACCAUGUGGAUGGAGGUGGAUGGCGGAAAAAGGUUCCCAGAAGAAAGGGGCUGCUUGUCUGACAAACAAGAGUGCCUGUUACCCCCAAGCAACAGGAAGAAUCUUCCUUGAGUGCCUUCCACACCUGCUGCACGUCAUCUUGCUGUUCUCCAUGUGAAACCGAAGUUGCGGCCAGAAACUUGAUCCGAGCCCCAUCAGGGGUGCCUGGCUGCCCAGGGUCCAGCUCACGGGAGUUGCUUUCUGCUCAGACAGCCAUGAGGGAUAUACCCGAGCAAGAUACAGCGUUUCACCAUGCACUGGAGCUAAGUAUAAAUUUUUGAGGAGGGACUGUGGUGAGUCUGCUGGGGAGAAGUCCCAGGCUGAGGCAGAUGGGCCAGGGAGGGGGCGGGCCCGGGAUGGGAGGCUAGCAGAGCUCUCUGUGGACCCCGUACACGGAUGGAGUGGAGGAGCCGUGGGACCAGCUCAGUAGAAGGGCUUCCAUUGCAAGCUCAGGAGGACAUGGAAAGGAAAGAAGGGGAUUAGGAUUGAGGAGACAGAGAGCUCUGAUGGACGCCGGCAGCCUGGCUCAGAGAGGCUAAGCCGGGAAGGACGAUGCCAGGAGAAAGGCUUGUUCGAGAUGCCCUGGGGCAGAGUCCAGGCGACACUCUCUAAAGUGGCAACUGGAAUGAUGGCCAAAGCCAAGGUUCUCCCUGAAGUUCAAAAGGUGGGAACCAGACUGGAGCCCAGCUGGGAAAAGACCCUGCUCCUCAAGGGACCUCGAAGACUGAGAGAAGAUGCAGGACUGGACGGCAGAAGAGGGAAAGGACGGGGGACCCAGGGGAAAGGCGAGAGGAGGACCUCAGAGAAGUGAGCCCCAGACCUGGCCGCCGAGAAAGCUCCAUGGGGGCCAGGGAUCGCGCGGGGCUUGUUUCGCGCUCGGUACAGUGCCCGGCACGUCGUAGGUGCUCAACGUACACCUGCUGAUCCAAGCGCGAGUGUGCUCUAAGAGGACACAUCAUACAGUUGAUGCCGGUGCCAAAUGCAUUUGGG
This is a long non-coding RNA of Lagenorhynchus albirostris (white-beaked dolphin), 1290 nucleotides long. RefSeq lists it as uncharacterized. The transcript is spliced from 3 exons. The record is from RefSeq and is a predicted model, not a curated record. Lineage: Eukaryota; Metazoa; Chordata; Mammalia; Artiodactyla; Delphinidae.